Molecule: ribosomal RNA, 1402 nt
Filed under: metagenome
Description: bacterial SSU rRNA
Rfam family: Bacterial small subunit ribosomal RNA
Source: RNAcentral
GUCGAACGAUGAUUUCCGCAAGGAAUGAUUAGUGGCAAACGGGUGAGUAAUGCGUGAGAAUCUGCCUUUUUGUGGGGGAUAGCUAUGGGAAACUAUAGGUAAUACCGCAUGGUCUUAGAAAUAAGUAAAGACUUUUAGUCGCAGAAAGAUGAGCUCACGUCAGAUUAGGUAGUUGGUAGGGUAAUGGCCUACCAAGCCUGUGAUCUGUAGCUGGUCUGAGAGGAUGAUCAGCCACACUGGGACUGAGAUACGGCCCAGACUCCUACGGGAGGCAGCAGUGGGGAAUAUUGGACAAUGGGGGAAACCCUGAUCCAGCAAUGCCGCGUGAAUGAUGAAGGCCUUAGGGUUGUAAAGUUCUUUCGCUUAAGAAGAUAAUGACGUUAUUAAGAGAAGAAGCCCCGGCUAACUCUGUGCCAGCAGCCGCGGUAAUACAGAGGGGCUAGUGUUGUUCAGAAUUACUGGGCGUAAAGGGUGCGUAGGCGGUUCCUUAAGUGGAAUGUUAAAUGUACAGGCUUAACCUGAUACCUGCAUUCUAAACUGGGGUUCUAGAGUCUGGAAGAGGAAAGUGGAAUUUCUAGUGGAGAGGUGAAAUUCUUAGAUAUUAGAAGGAAGAUCAAUGGCGAAGGCAACUUUCUGGGACAGUACUGACGCUGAGGCACGAAAGCGUGGGGAGCAAACAGGAUUAGAGACCCUGGUAGUCCACGCCCUAAACGAUGAAUGCUAGUUGUUGGGAUUUACUCAGCAGCGAAGUUAACACGAUAAGCAUUCCGCCUGAGGAUUACGAUCGCAAGAUUAAAACUUAAAGAAAUUGACGGGGGCUCGCACAAGCGGUGGAGCAUGUGGUUUAAUUCGAAGAUACGCGCAAAACCUUACCAGCUCUUGACAUGCAAAUAGAGUCUCCUAGUAAUAGGAGAUGCGGUUCGGCCGGAUUUGCACAGGUGCUGCAUGGCUGUCGUCAGCUCGUGUCGUGAGAUAUUGGGUUAAGUCCCGCAACGAGCGCAACCCUCGUUCUUAGUUGCCAUCAGGUAAUGCUGGGUACUUUAAGAAGACUGCCAGUGAUAAGCUGGAGGAAGGUGGGGAUGAGGUCAGGUAUCAUGGCCCUUAUGGGCUGGGCUACACACGUGCUACAAUGGGAGUUACAAAGGGCAGCAAUGAGGCGACUCUGAGCCAAUCCUUAAAAGCUCUCUAAGUUCAGAUUGUUCUCUGCAACUCGAGAACAUGAAGUAGGAAUCGCUAGUAAUCGUAGAUCAGAACGCUACGGUGAAUACGUUGACGAGCCUUGUACACACCGCCCGUCAAACCAUGGGAGUUGGUGCAUCCUGAAUGCAGUGGAGCUAACAAGUUUACUUGAGGCAUCUGUUUAUGGAAGCAUUGAUGACUGGGGUUAAGUCGUAACAAGGUA